GAGCGCGCACACAAAGAAGAUAGUAAUAAACAAUCCUCAAUUUGUUCGAUGUUCGGAAGUUUUUGCAAUAUUUCUUGUUUUGAAAAGUUCAAAAAAUCGUAAAUGACCAAAUCGUUGGUCGAGCCGACGAUAAUCACGAUAGUGUACCGCAUUUUCACUGCAGCAGUAUGUCGAAGUGCAACGUCCCGCGAUGCCGGAGCAGAAAAAUUUUGAAGAAAGUCGGAUAACUUUCCACCAUUUUACGACCAACAAAUUGUUGAGACGGAAAUGGUUAAACUUUUUCGAAUACAACAGCUCGUUUGAUACGCGAAACAUAUUUGUUUGUUCGCUUCAUUUUUCGCCGGAUUCUUUUGGGGAUACUGUUUUAACCUAUAAUCAGCAAAGAAGACGUCUUCGUACUGGAGCUGUUCCAUGCAUUUGCUUCUUGGAUCUUCCAAAACGUUCCGUUUCAAUGGUUUCAUACGAAAUUCCAAAUUUAUACAUUCACUUCUUGCGAAAGUGCAAAAUAUUUAUUUGCAAUCACUUCGGAAGAUGAUCCGGGAUGGAGAAAAUGUUUUUCUCGUUUUCCAGAAACGCCAAUUUGGUCCCUUAAGCGGCCCCACUACGGCUGAACACUCCAAACUGAGACCAAUGAAAGCGUCGCGAUGAUUCAUGAUGGAUGCUUCAAUGAAAGACAAAAAAAUCAGCAGUGUUCAUCUUUCAUCAUAUUAUCAAAUUGCGGGAACGACACUGCUUCGAUAUAACCUCUCCACACAUUUGUUCAUCGUUUUUUUGCGUUAUUUUUAUAAUACAGAUGCGAUAAUUUCACUGUUUUUAGUUUUAAAAUGAUUAACUGUUGUUUCAUCACCUGGAAACAUAUUUUGAGACAGUUCUUUUGUUACAAUUUAAAAAAAAUUCAAAAAUGUUCGAAUUUAUAUGAAUUCAAUCGAUGGUUUAUUACAAUUUUUUGCUUUUUUUUCUUUGCCUACCACUACAUGAUCAAAGCAGGGAGGAGACUACCUUCUAUUCUACGUACUUUGAUUGACGACAUCGAGCUUCGUGUUGCGGACAUGCGAGAAUGAUAGCCGCGCGAGAUAGCUGGUGGAUGAUAAUCCAGACGACCGGAGUUCGAACCCACAUCGGAGCAGUUUUCACCAAACAUUAAUCUGUGCCAUUUUAAACAUUCAUAUUCCACGCCCAACACAAGUCAAUCAAAUAAUUAUAAUUUCUACAAACAUAAAUACUCAUAUAUAAAAA
Molecule: long non-coding RNA, 1236 nt
Organism: Toxorhynchites rutilus septentrionalis
Lineage: Eukaryota; Metazoa; Arthropoda; Insecta; Diptera; Culicidae
Exons: 4
Source: RefSeq, a predicted model, not a curated record